Molecule: ribosomal RNA, 252 nt
Filed under: uncultured bacterium
Lineage: Bacteria
Description: partial 16S ribosomal RNA
Rfam family: Bacterial small subunit ribosomal RNA
Source: RNAcentral
UACGGGGGGGGGCAAGCGUUGUUCGGAAUUGUGGGCGUAAAGGGCUCGUAGGUGGCCAACUAAGUCAGACGUGAAAUCCCUCAGCUUAACUGGGGAACUGCGUCUGAUACUGGAUGGCUUGAGUUUGGGAGAGGGAUGCGGAAUCCAGGUGUAGCGGUGAAAUGCGUAGAUAUCUGGAGGAACACCGGUGGCGAAGGCGGCAUCCUGGACCAACACUGACACUGAGGAGCGAAAGCCAGGGGAGCAAACGGG